GAUGAAGAACGUAGCGAAAUGCGAUACGUAGUGUGAAUUGCAGAAAUACGUGAAUCAUCGAAUCUUUGAACGCACAUUGCGCCCCUUGGUAUUCCGAGGGGCAUGCCUGUUCGAGCGUCAUUAUAACCCCUCAAGCUCAGCUUGGUGUUGGGGCCUGCUGCACUGGCAGCCCUUAAAAUCAGUGGCGGCGCCAUCUGGCUCUAAGCGUAGUAAUUCUUCUCGCUAUGGAGUCCUGGUGGAUGCUUGCCAUCAACCCCCAAUUUUUCUAUGGUUGACCUCGGAUCAGGUAGGGAUACCCGCUGAACUUAAGCAUAUCAAUAAGCGGAGGA
RNAcentral lists this unclassified non-coding RNA (329 nucleotides) under soil metagenome. RNAcentral describes it as "partial contains 5.8S ribosomal RNA, internal transcribed spacer 2, and large subunit ribosomal RNA". The stretch from base 1 to 120 matches the Rfam family "5.8S ribosomal RNA", at positions 35 to 154 of the family's 154-position model. The record is from RNAcentral.